UGAUUUUUAAAAUUUAUACUACUGCUGCUGUUCAAAACUGUUUUAAUGCAAGAUGUUGAUUACUAAGUUUAAAAGUCCCUUCUUUUUUUUCUAUAAUAUUUCCCAUCACUUUCUCUUAUUUCCCUUCACUAAUAUAUCAAGAACAUAAGACCUUAUUUAAGAAAACUCUACUAUAGCAUCAUUUCCAUGCUUUUUCAAUAAUAUCAAACUUAAAAAUAUAUUGAAAUCUUGAUGUUCUUACCUUGUCCUAUUAGUUUCAACAUUUAACUUGAUUUUCUCUCUCCUCCAG
RNAcentral lists this long non-coding RNA (289 nucleotides) under Gossypium raimondii (Peruvian cotton). RNAcentral's name for it is "long non-coding RNA (GRAI_LNC005148)". The record is from RNAcentral. Lineage: Eukaryota; Viridiplantae; Streptophyta; Magnoliopsida; Malvales; Malvaceae.